This 406-nucleotide ribosomal RNA is filed under the name uncultured bacterium. Its description in RNAcentral is "partial 16S ribosomal RNA". It matches the Rfam family "Bacterial small subunit ribosomal RNA", at positions 30 to 526 of the family's 1533-position model. The record is from RNAcentral.
AUUGAACGCUGGCGGCAGGCCUAACACAUGCAAGUCGAACGAGUGGCGGACGGGUGAGUAAUGUCUGGGAAACUGCCUGAUGGAGGGGGAUAACUACUGGAAACGGUAGCUAAUACCGCAUACCAUCGGAUGUGCCCAGAUGGGAUUAGCUAGUAGGUGGGUUAAAGGCUCACCUAGGCGACGAUCCCUAGCUGGGCUGAGAGGAUGAACAGCCACACUGGAACUGAGACACGUUCCAGACUCCUACGUGAGGCAGCAGUUGGGAAUAGUGCACAAUGGGCGAAAGACUGACGCAGCCAUGCCGCGUGUAUGAAGAAGGCCUGCGGGUUGUAAAGUACUGUCAGCGGGGAGGAGUUACCCGCAGAAGAAGCACCGGCUAACUCCGUGCCAGCAACCGCGGGAAUUC